AGAGUUUGAUCCUGGCUCAGGACGAACGCUGGCGGCGUGCCUAAUGCAUGCAAGUCGCACGAUCAUCACUUCGGUGAUGGUAGUGGCGCACGGCUGAGUAACACGUGGGUUAUCUGCCCCGGUGUGGGGGACAACAGGUCGAAAGAUCUGCUAAUCCCGCAUACGUUCCGCUUCGGCGGAAGAAAGCCUUCGGGCGCACUGGGAUGAGCCUACGGCCCAUCAGGUAGUUGGUGUGGUAAGAGCGCACCAAGCCGAUGACGGGUACCUGGUCUGAGAGGACGACCAGGCAGACUGGGACUGAGACACGGCCCAGACUCCUACGGGAGGCAGCAGCAAGGAAUUUUCCGCAAUGGGCGAAAGCCUGACGGAGCAACGCCGCGUGCAGGAAGACGGCUUUCGGGUUGUAAACUGCUUUUACUGGGGAAGAAAAGGACGGUACCCGGUGAAUAAGCCCCGGCUAACUCCGUGCCAGCAGCCGCGGUGAUACGGAGGGGGCAAGCGUUGUCCGGACUUAUUGGGCGUAAAGGGUACGUAGGUGGUUCUAUGCGUCGGCACUGAAAGCUCCCGGCUUAACUGGGAGAGGCGUGGCGAUACGAUAGAACUCGAGGCAGGGAGAGGUUAGCAGAAUUCCGGGUGUAGUUGUGAAAUGCGUAGAUAUCCGGAGGAAUACCUGUGGCGAAGGCGGCUAACUGGCCCUGUCCUGACACUGAGGUACGAAAGCGUGGGGAGCGAACCGGAUUAGAUACCCGGGUAGUCCACGCUGUAAACGAUGUCGGCUCGGUGUUUGGGGAUGAUACAACCAUCUCUGAGUGCCUAAGUAUACACGGUAAGCCGACCGCCUGGGGACUACGAGCGCAAGCUUAAAACUCAAAGGAAUUGACGGGGGCCCGCACAAGCAGCGGAGCGUGUGGUUUAAUUCGACACAACACGAAGAACCUUACCCAGGCUUGACAUGUUCCUGCAAGCGCACGGAGACGUGUGACCUUAGAGGGUGGAACACAGGUGCUGCAUGGCUGUCGUCAGCUCGUGUCGUGAGAUGUUGGGUUAAGUCCCGCAACGAGCGCAACCCUCGCUGUCAGUUAUUAGUGUCUGACGGGACAGCCGUCUAUAGAGGCGGAGGAAGGUGGGGAUGACGUCAAGUCCGCAUGGCCCUUACGCCUGGGGCUACACACACGCUACAAUGGCCGAGACAAUGUGUCGCGAUCUCGCAAGAGCUAGCUAAUCACGAAACUCGGUCUCAGUACAGAUCGGGGGCUGAAACUCGCCCCCGUGAAGUUGGAGUUGCUAGUAACCGCGUAUCAGCUAUGGCGCGGUGAAUACGUGCCCGGGCCUUGUACACACCGCCCGUCACGUCAUGGGAGUCGGCAAUGCUUGAAGUCUGUGAGCUAACCCGCAAGGGAGGCAGCGGCCGAGGGCAGGGCUGGCGACUGGGACGAAGUCGAAACAAGGUA
RNAcentral lists this ribosomal RNA (1451 nucleotides) under metagenome. RNAcentral describes it as "bacterial SSU rRNA". It matches the Rfam family "Bacterial small subunit ribosomal RNA". The record is from RNAcentral.